GGGCUAGGGCUCCGUGGUAGAGUGCUUGCCUACUAGCAUGUGGGAGGCACUGGGUUCAAUCCCCAGCAGCACA
RNAcentral lists this transfer RNA (73 nucleotides) under Marmota monax (woodchuck). Its description in RNAcentral is "tRNA.Ser". The record is from RNAcentral. Lineage: Eukaryota; Metazoa; Chordata; Mammalia; Rodentia; Sciuridae.